UACGGAGACCUCGAGCGUUACUCGGAUUUACUGGGCGUAAAGGGUGAGCAGGCGGCCAGGUGUGUUAGGUGUGAAAUCCCGGGGCUUAACCCCGGAACUGCGCCUAAAACUACCUGGCUAGAGUCUCGGAGAGGACAGUGGAAUUCUAGGUGUAGCGGUGAAAUGCGUAGAUAUCUAGAGGAACACCAGUGGCGAAGGCGACUGUCUGGACGAGUACUGACGCUCAAUCACGAAAGCGUGGGUAGCGAAAGGG
Molecule: ribosomal RNA, 253 nt
Filed under: uncultured bacterium
Lineage: Bacteria
Description: partial 16S ribosomal RNA
Rfam family: Bacterial small subunit ribosomal RNA
Source: RNAcentral